CCCACCCUGGAGGAGAGGAGGAGACCAGGUACCCUGCUCAUCUGGCAGGGAGGGAGAGAAUCCAUCAGCAGAGAGACAACACGGCCAGAGACAAUGGUUUACUGAAGAUUACAACGGCCAAAACAGGAAGUAAUGUGGCGACGUUGUCACAGACAGGAAGUAGCUCGAGUGGUAGCUCUCCAGAGAACAACCACUCCCAGAACGGGCUCAGACAACGAUGCGC
Long non-coding RNA from Oncorhynchus masou masou (cherry salmon), 223 nucleotides. RefSeq lists it as uncharacterized. Lineage: Eukaryota; Metazoa; Chordata; Actinopteri; Salmoniformes; Salmonidae. The record is from RefSeq and is a predicted model, not a curated record. The transcript is spliced from 3 exons.